GACGAACGCUGGCGGCGUGCCUAACACAUGCAAGUCGAACGGAACUGUUUUGAAAGAUUUCUUCGGAAUGAAUUUGAUUUAGUUUAGUGGCGGACGGGUGAGUAACGCGUGAGUAACCUGCCUUCAAGAGGGGGAUAACAUUCUGAAAAGAAUGCUAAUACCGCAUGACAUAUCGGAAUCACAUGGUUUUGAUAUCAAAGAUUUUAUCGCUUGAAGAUGGACUCGCGUCCGAUUAGUUAGUUGGUGAGGUAACGGCUCACCAAGACCGCGAUCGGUAGCCGGACUGAGAGGUUGAACGGCCACAUUGGGACUGAGACACGGCCCAGACUCCUACGGGAGGCAGCAGUGGGGGAUAUUGCGCAAUGGGGGCAACCCUGACGCAGCAACGCCGCGUGAAGGAUGAAGGUUUUCGGAUUGUAAACUUCUUUUAUUAAGGACGAAACUUGACGGUACUUAAUGAAUAAG
RNAcentral lists this ribosomal RNA (465 nucleotides) under uncultured bacterium. RNAcentral's name for it is "bacterial SSU rRNA". It matches the Rfam family "Bacterial small subunit ribosomal RNA", at positions 28 to 490 of the family's 1533-position model. The record is from RNAcentral.